GAAACGGGUUAAUAUUCCCGUACUUCUUACAAUUGCGAUGGGGGGACGGAGAAGGCUAGGUGGGCCUGGCGACGGUUGUCCAGGUUCAAGUGCGUAGGCUUAAGAGUUAGGUAAAUCCGGCUCUUUCUAAGGCUGAGACACGACGUCGAGCACCUACGGGUGUGAAGUCAUUGAUGCCAUGCUUCCAGGAAAAGCCUCUAAGCUUCAGAUUGUAAGGAAUCGUGCCACAAACCGACAGAGGGGGUCGGGGAG
RNAcentral lists this ribosomal RNA (252 nucleotides) under Vibrio parahaemolyticus. Its description in RNAcentral is "partial 23S ribosomal RNA". It matches the Rfam family "Bacterial large subunit ribosomal RNA", at positions 1422 to 1674 of the family's 2925-position model. Lineage: Bacteria; Pseudomonadati; Pseudomonadota; Gammaproteobacteria; Vibrionales; Vibrionaceae. The record is from RNAcentral.